UGGGGAAUAUUGCACAAUGGAGGGAACUCUGAUGCAGCGACGCCGCGUGAACGAAGAAGGCUUUCGAGUCGUAAAGUUCUUUUAUAUGGGAAGAUAAUGACGGUACCAUAAGAAAAAGCCCCGGCUAACUACGUGCCAGCAGCCGCGGUAAUACGUAGGGGGCUAGCGUUGUCCGGAAUCACUGGGCGUAAAGCGCACGUAGGCUGCUUUGUAAGUCAGGGGUGAAAUCCCACGGCUCAACCGUGGAACUGCCUUUGAUACUGCUUAGCUUGAAUCCGGGAGAGGGUGGCGGAAUUCCAGGUGUAGGAGUGAAAUCCGUAGAUAUCUGGAGGAACAUCAGUGGCGAAGGCGGCCACCUGGACCGGUAUUGACGCUGAGGUGCGAAAGCGUGGGGAGCAAACAGG
This 404-nucleotide ribosomal RNA is filed under the name Fusobacteriota bacterium. RNAcentral's name for it is "Fusobacteria bacterium partial 16S ribosomal RNA". It matches the Rfam family "Bacterial small subunit ribosomal RNA", at positions 355 to 776 of the family's 1533-position model. The record is from RNAcentral. Lineage: Bacteria; Fusobacteriati; Fusobacteriota.